RNAcentral lists this unclassified non-coding RNA (200 nucleotides) under Curreya sp. Its description in RNAcentral is "partial internal transcribed spacer 2". The record is from RNAcentral. Lineage: Eukaryota; Fungi; Ascomycota; Dothideomycetes; Pleosporales; Cucurbitariaceae.
UUAAGUUCAGCGGGUAUCCCUACCUGAUUCGAGGUCAAACGAAUAAAAAAAAAGUUCGCUUCUGGGAGCCAGACCCCGGAAAGAGCGCAAAUCUGCUGCACUCCAGGCCGUGGUACCAGCCGCCAAUCGCUUUGAGGCGAGUCCGCGCACGGAGGCGGGACAGACGCCCAACACCAAGCAGAGCUUGAGGGUGUAAAUGA